This is a non-coding RNA of Caenorhabditis elegans, 219 nucleotides long. NCBI's taxonomy places the organism in Eukaryota, Metazoa, Nematoda, Chromadorea, Rhabditida, Rhabditidae. The record is from Ensembl.
CGCCAAAAACAGCCUGCGGCGACUAGCGUUGAAGGCGGGUGGAGCUUCGAUGGGAGGGGAGCUCUGCAAAAGAACUAGAACGAGCGAGAGGAGCCGGGCAGCAGCCGAGGGAGACCACGCAAGGACCCAUUGAUUUUCGGGGACACUCCGAGCUCCCCCAGCCAACAUCAGAGCCCAGAGGAGAGCACACUAUUCUCUCUGGACUCUCUUUUCAUAUCU